GUAAGAUCAUGCUUCGGGUUCUUUUGCUUGGUUAGAUUUGUUAAAUUGUGGCUAUGUUUGGUUGCUAUCUAUGCUCCUCUUUCAUGAUUUGCUAGUGGUUAAGAGUAAAUGAUUGUGAUUAUAAGAGACUUGGAUCCUGUAGAGCACACUGAUACUUACCUUUUGGUUUAAUGGUUAUCUGCAUGUGUCAUGCAUACUGAUAAUAUAUAAUCCAAUGAUGAAUGGGAUUUAUAAUGUUUUCUUUGAACCUCACUGAGUUGAGCCAAGCACAGCAUGAGCUUAGGUCUCAUAGCAAUAUUUGGGCUAACAAUGACAUUGGUUGAGCAGUCAAAUAGUCGAUCAAUCUCAAACUGCAUCAUAGCUGCAGUUACAUUUUUUCCCCCCACCAGUCUUACUGUUCCUACAAAAUCCACAUGGAUGUUAAGAAUGACAAAUUCUUCCAGUUUAUAUUGCUAUUGUUGCUAAGAACAAAUUCUCUCUCUCUCAGGCUGUUGACGUAUUGAGAACAGACUAUGAACCCUCAGAUUUGGAUAUCCUGUAUGCUGAGGGCGUUACUUCAUCAAAUGGGCUUGCUUGUUUGGACUUCUCAUUUCCCCCAUCAGCA
RNAcentral lists this unclassified non-coding RNA (604 nucleotides) under Hevea brasiliensis (rubber tree). The record is from RNAcentral. Lineage: Eukaryota; Viridiplantae; Streptophyta; Magnoliopsida; Malpighiales; Euphorbiaceae.